GUGCCAGCAGCCGCGGUAAUACGUAGGGGGCAAGCGUUGUCCGGAAUUAUUGGGCGUAAAGCGCGCGCAGGCGGUUCCUUAAGUCUGAUGUGAAAGGCCACAGCUCAACUGUGGAGGGCCAUUGGAAACUGGGGAACUUGAGGACAGAAGAGGAGAGUGGAAUUCCACGUGUAGCGGUGAAAUGCGUAGAGAUGUGGAGGAACACCAGUGGCGAAGGCGACUCUCUGGUCUGUAACUGACGCUGAGGAGCGAAAGCGUGGGGAGCGAACAGGAUUAGAAACCCUCGUAGUCC
Molecule: ribosomal RNA, 292 nt
Filed under: uncultured prokaryote
Description: partial 16S ribosomal RNA
Rfam family: Bacterial small subunit ribosomal RNA
Source: RNAcentral